RNAcentral lists this ribosomal RNA (228 nucleotides) under uncultured bacterium. RNAcentral describes it as "partial 16S ribosomal RNA". It matches the Rfam family "Bacterial small subunit ribosomal RNA", at positions 568 to 796 of the family's 1533-position model. The record is from RNAcentral.
UACGUAGGCGGAAAAUUAAGUCAGUAGUGAAAUCCUGCAGCUUAACUGUAGAACUGUUAUUGAUACUGGUUUUCUUGAAUAUAGUUGAGGUAGGCGGAAUGUGUAAUGUAGCGGUGAAAUGCUUAGAUAUUACACAGAACACCGAUUGCGAAGGCAGCUUACUAAGCUAUGAUUGACGCUGAGGUACGAAAGCGUGGGGAGCGAACAGGAUUAGAACCCUGGUAGUCC